Molecule: unclassified non-coding RNA, 902 nt
Filed under: Hevea brasiliensis (rubber tree)
Lineage: Eukaryota; Viridiplantae; Streptophyta; Magnoliopsida; Malpighiales; Euphorbiaceae
Source: RNAcentral
UUUUCUUUUAAAAAAAAAAAUAACUAGGAUAUCCUAUUUCCAUAUAAAUUGUAGCCUGCAAUAGACUGUAAUUUACAUAUAUAGUAAAAAAAAAAAAGAUCUCUACGACGAAGUGAGGAUAUAUAUAUAUAUAUAUAUUCUCUUAGUUGAAGACAUUCUUCAACAUGAGCUCUAUCAAUGCAAUAUAACAUGGAAUAUAAACAAUACUCUUACACAUCAUGUCUAUUGGCCUUAGCCUUUUCAAUGGAAUCCAUGGCUUCUUCAAAUGAUUUCCCAGAAUUGUGCAUUUUCCACAGUGCCUCCCUGCUCUUAUCUAUUAUCACCAUCCCGCCAAUUAAAGCACCAGCAAAGGCAAGAUUGAGAAGAAAAGCACGAGUGGUUAAGUAGCGAAGUGCAACAUCGAACUUGGAGACAAAACCACCAUCGGCUUUUCUAUUCUGGCUCUGAUAAGAAUGGUAAUUGUAGCCAUAACCGUAGCCAUAACCAUGAGCAUGUCUAUGAUUAUUAUAACCAGAGGAGAAUGAGGAGGAGGAGGAGCGAAUGUUAUAAUCGGCACGUUUCCGGUCAUCAGCGAGGAUUUGGUAGGCCUCGGAGAGUUGUUUGAAACGGAGGGUAGCGUUUUCUCUGACCAGUUGAGGAGAUUGGGAAUGCUUGUCAGGGUGAUAUUUGAGAGCCAAUCUCUUGUAGGCUUCUUUGAUUUCCUCUUUGGUUGCGUUCUUGUUCAACUCCAAUAUCUUGUAGUAAUCCAUUAUCUUCUUCUUAAUAAAUCAUCGAUCGUUUCGAUCGAUGGAAUGAACAAUGAAGUAGCUCAAAUCGAAGAACCUUGCUUUACGGAUUGAAGGGGGAGUCGCGGCACUUUCGACUCCCAUUCCUUCUAAGUUUUUUUUCUUUUUUUUCUUUUU